GCUGGGGUUGCAGAAUCCGGUUAAUGCGGCCGCCUGCAGAGCGGCAGAUUGUGGGUUCAAAUCCCACCCCCAGCU
This 75-nucleotide transfer RNA is filed under the name Candidatus Aenigmatarchaeota archaeon. RNAcentral describes it as "tRNA-Cys". It matches the Rfam family "tRNA". Rfam says of the family: Transfer RNA (tRNA) molecules are approximately 80 nucleotides in length. Their secondary structure includes four short double-helical elements and three loops (D, anti-codon, and T loops). Lineage: Archaea; Nanobdellati; Candidatus Aenigmatarchaeota. The record is from RNAcentral.